This is a long non-coding RNA of Ictalurus punctatus (channel catfish), 663 nucleotides long. NCBI's taxonomy places the organism in Eukaryota, Metazoa, Chordata, Actinopteri, Siluriformes, Ictaluridae. The record is from Ensembl.
GGCCAGCUUCGCUUGGAGCUCCAGCGCCUUGCGCCAAGAGAAAUCAUGACAUUAACAUGAUGUUAAAUGGCACUACAGAGGUUGUCAGGGACAUUAAACAUCAUCACGCCGAACGGGAAAAAACUUUGCAGAUAAACUCAGAGCUCUACAGUGCGACCAUUUCACUCGCAUUUGUGACUGAAAAGUAAUUUGUGCGACUGUGACUAAAUAUUUAUUCGCACUGGUGCGAGUGACCUGUUCGGAGUUGUAGAAUACAAUCGGAAUAAAAACUACAGGAAGUCCAAAAUGCAUCUACAGUUACUUUCACACUGCUUUUCAUCACCUCAGUCAACCGAACAAUCAUGCCGAUCGAUUGCUUCAGCAGCCACCUCAGCCAAAAUCCACCAUGCCUGAGGUUCGAUAACUGGCACUGGAUCUUUUCUUCUCUUUACGAUCACUCAGGGGACACAUUCACAAACAUAGGCAGAAAUAGUGUGCAUUUUUGUAAAAGCAUGGGGAAAAAAACAUGAAUGCACUUGAGAGAGGUUAUCACAGGGUCUGAUAUUGGGGAAAAAUUAGAUGAAAAAUGAAGGUGUUUUAGGUAAUAAAAAAUCCAUAAAUACUCAACCUUUUCCACUCAAAAAUCUAUAAAUAGUAAAUUCAUCCCAGCUUCUUUCUAAUGUG